AUAAUUUGCCUAGUACAUAGAGUGUGCUUUGUGGAUUUGUUGGGUUCUCUACACACUUAGAUAAGGGAUCCUUUUGCAAAGCACUUGGCACAAUGUGUGGUACCAUAAUACAUGGUACUUGAUGAAAGAGGGCUUAUAACAACACUAUGAUAAUUAUUGCUAUUACUAGUUGUCCAUUUUGUGCUCCUGUAGCAUAAUACCACAGACUGGGUAAUUUAUAAAGAACUUGAAUAUUUUCUCAAAGUUCUAGAGCCUGGGAAGAGCAAGACCAAGAUAUUCAGUUGCUUGGUGAGAGCUGCUCUCCGCUUCCAAGGUGAUGCCUUGUUGCUGUAUCCUCCAACAGGAAGGAAUGCUGGGGCCUCACGUGACAGAAGGUAGAAAGUUACUUUCUCAUCUGCUGCUUUUGGUCUGCUGGAAACUCUGGAUUCGGAACUUUCAUUUGGAGACAGACCUGCCAUGUCUGCUGGAUAACUCCUGGCUACUUCAACUCUUCACCUUACCAGAUGUAACUAGCCCAAUUCCAUUAUAUUAUGGGCAGAAUUUUUGAUAAGCAUUCCAUCUGCAAAUUGUGGGUAGUUUCAACUCAUUCGGGACAUCAUUAGAGAACAUAGGUACCUGGAU
This 621-nucleotide long non-coding RNA is filed under the name Callithrix jacchus (white-tufted-ear marmoset). RNAcentral describes it as "lncRNA (ENSCJAG00000083767.1)". Lineage: Eukaryota; Metazoa; Chordata; Mammalia; Primates; Cebidae. The record is from RNAcentral.